RNAcentral lists this ribosomal RNA (112 nucleotides) under Caerostris extrusa. The record is from RNAcentral. Lineage: Eukaryota; Metazoa; Arthropoda; Arachnida; Araneae; Araneidae. RNAcentral also lists the same sequence under 1 other name.
AACGGCCAUACCAUGCUGAAUAUACCGGUUCUCGUUAGAUCACCGAAGUCAAGCAUCAUUGGGCGCGGUCAGUACUUGGGUGGGUGACCACCUGGGAACACCGCGUGUCGUU